Long non-coding RNA from Gallus gallus (chicken), 754 nucleotides. The record is from Ensembl. Lineage: Eukaryota; Metazoa; Chordata; Aves; Galliformes; Phasianidae.
AUAGAUUAAGCUGCUAGGUAUCAUUUUCACUCCUAAUGAACAUGUGUCUUGUCAACAAGUUAUUGCAAGUACUUUCCAACUCAGAUAUCUAUUACCAGGUCAAACGGUGAGCUGUUCAGCACAGUGCCUUCCCCUUCAACAUAAAAGACUUAAAGAAGAAAUCGAAGCCACAUUUCCAGGUCUGGAGGGUCAAUGGCAACACAAUUUAUUUGAUCUUCGUCCACUAGACUUAAUUUUAGACUUUUACGUAGUUGUUCUUAUAAAACAGAUCCUACAGAGCAAGGACUCACCAAGCAACCCCGGGAUGUCUCAUGAAUUUUUAUGAGUGAAAAAUCUGCUCGCUGUUGAUAAGGGAAAAUGCUGCAGCUUCAAGGAUGAGACCCUGGUGAGCUUCAGGCUGUGGGAAGCCGCUCUUCAAGGCCUGAAAUAGAACCAUAGAAUCAGAGAAACACUGAGGUUGGAACGGACCUGUAAUCCAACUGUCGACCCAUCGCCAUCAUGCCAUUAUACCACGUCCCUCAGUGACACAUCUACAUGUUUCUUGAGCACCUCCAGGGAGACUGAUUCUACCACUUCCCUGGGCAGCCCCUUCCAAUGCCUCACCACUCUUCCUGAGAAGAAGUUUUUCCUAAUUUCUCCCCUGAACUUCUGCUGAUGCAACUUGAGGCCAUUCUACUCUGCUCAGCAGGCACCCGUGAGGCAGCAGAGUCUGAUAAAAACUCAGCAUCCCUGUGCUGCUCCAGUGCAAUGCACC